AUACGGAGGGUGCAAGCGUUAAUCGGAAUUACUGGGCGUAAAGCGCUCGUAGGCGGCUUGUAAAGUCGGAUGUGAAAGCCCUGGGCUCAACCUGGGAAUUGCAUUCGAAACUGUCAGACUAGAGUAUGGUAGAGGGAAGUGGAAUUCCGGGUGUAGCGGUGAAAUGCGUAGAUAUCCGGAGGAACACCAGUGGCGAAGGCGGCUUCCUGGACCAAUACUGACACUGAUGUGCGAAAGCGUGGGGAGCAAACAGGAUUAGAAACCCCAGUAGUCC
Molecule: ribosomal RNA, 274 nt
Filed under: uncultured bacterium
Lineage: Bacteria
Description: partial 16S ribosomal RNA
Rfam family: Bacterial small subunit ribosomal RNA
Source: RNAcentral